RNAcentral lists this ribosomal RNA (403 nucleotides) under bacterium. Its description in RNAcentral is "partial 16S ribosomal RNA". It matches the Rfam family "Bacterial small subunit ribosomal RNA", at positions 355 to 776 of the family's 1533-position model. The record is from RNAcentral. RNAcentral also lists the same sequence under 1 other name.
UGGGGAAUAUUGCACAAUGGAGGGAACUCUGAUGCAGCGACGCCGCGUGAACGAAGAAGGCUUUCGAGUCGUAAAGUUCUUUUAUAUGGGAAGAUAAUGACGGUACCAUAAGAAAUAGCCCCGGCUAACUACGUGCCAGCAGCCGCGGUAAUACGUAGGGGGCUAGCGUUGUCCGGAAUCACUGGGCGUAAAGGGUUCGCAGGCGGAAAUGCAAGUCAGGUGUAAAAGGCAGUAGCUUAACUACUGUAAGCAUUUGAAACUGCAUAUCUUGAGAAGAGUAGAGGUAAGUGGAAUUUUUAGUGUAGCGGUGAAAUGCGUAGAUAUUAAAAAGAAUACCGGUGGCGAAGGCGACUUACUGGGCUCAUUCUGACGCUGAGGAACGAAAGCGUGGGUAGCAAACAGG